This 264-nucleotide ribosomal RNA is filed under the name uncultured archaeon. RNAcentral's name for it is "partial 16S ribosomal RNA". It matches the Rfam family "Archaeal small subunit ribosomal RNA", at positions 714 to 982 of the family's 1478-position model. The record is from RNAcentral.
AGACGUCUACAUUAGAUACCCCUGUAGUCCCAGCCGUAAACUAUGCGCGUUAGGUGUAUCGGUGACCACGAGUUACCGAGGUGCCGAAGGGAAACCGUGAAACGUGCCGCCUGGGAAGUACGGUCGCAAGGCUGAAACUUAAAGGAAUUGCGGGGGAGCACCACAACAGGUGGAGCCUGCGGUUUAAUUGGACUCAACGCCGGGAAGCUCACCGGAUAGGACAGCAGAAUGAUUGCCGGGCUGAAGACCCUGCAUGACUAGCUG